UACGUAGGGGGCAAGCGUUGUCCGGAUUUACUGGGCGUAAAGCGUACGCAGACGGCCACGCAGGUCGGGUGUGAAAGCCCCGGGCUCAACCCGGGAAUUGCAUUCGAAACCAUGUGGCUCGAGUAUGGGAGAGGGAAGUGGAAUUCCUGGUGUAGAGGUGAAAUUCGUAGAUAUCAGGAGGAACACCGGCGGCGAAGGCGGCUUCCUGGCCCAUAACUGACGUUCAGGUACGAAAGCGUGGGGAGCAAACAGG
RNAcentral lists this ribosomal RNA (253 nucleotides) under uncultured bacterium. RNAcentral describes it as "partial 16S ribosomal RNA". It matches the Rfam family "Bacterial small subunit ribosomal RNA", at positions 524 to 776 of the family's 1533-position model. The record is from RNAcentral.